This 402-nucleotide ribosomal RNA is filed under the name uncultured bacterium. RNAcentral describes it as "bacterial SSU rRNA". It matches the Rfam family "Bacterial small subunit ribosomal RNA", at positions 30 to 418 of the family's 1533-position model. The record is from RNAcentral.
AGCGAACGUUAGCGGCGCGCCUAACACAUGCAAGUCGCACGAGAAACGGAGCAAUCCGCGGUACAGUGGCGCACGGGUGAGUAACACGUGGAUGACCUUCCCUGGAGUGGUGGAUAACCUGCCGAAAGGCGGGCUAAUACAGCAUGGGACCACGACGCUUUGGCGAUGUGGUGAAAGCGGGCCUCUAUAUAUAAGCUCGCGCUCCGGGACGGGUCCGCGUCCCAUCAGCUAGUUGGUGAGGUAACGGCUCACCAAGGCAACGACGGGUAGCUGGCCUGAGAGGAUGGCCAGCCACACUGGAACUGAGACACGGUCCAGACUCCUGCGGGAGGCAGCAGUGGGGAAUCUUGCGCAAUGGGCGAAAGCCUGACGCAGCGACGCCGCGUGGGCGAAGAAGGCCUC